This 460-nucleotide ribosomal RNA is filed under the name uncultured bacterium. RNAcentral's name for it is "partial 16S ribosomal RNA". It matches the Rfam family "Bacterial small subunit ribosomal RNA", at positions 338 to 795 of the family's 1533-position model. The record is from RNAcentral.
CCUACGGGGAGCAGCAGUGAGGAAUAUUGGUCAAUGGGCGGGAGCCUGAACCAGCCAAGUCGCGUGAGGGAAGACGGUCCUAUGGAUUGUAAACCUCUUUAGGCGGGGAGCAAUGCCGGGCACGUGUGCCCGGAGGGAGAGUACCCGCAGAAUAAGCAUCGGCCAACUCCGUGCCAGCAGCCGCGGUAAUACGGAGGAUGCGAGCUUUAUCCGGAUUUAUUGGGUUAAAAGGGUGCGUAGGCGGAUUUUUAAGUCAGCGGUAAAAUGUCGGGGCUAAACCGGGACCGGCCGUUGAAACUGGGGAGCUAGAUUGGUCGAGAGGUGGGCGGAAUGCGAGGUGUAGCGGUGAAAUGCGUAGAGAUGACGCAGAAUACCGAUUGCGAAGGCAGCCGACCGGCGACCGACUGACGCUGAGGUACGAAAGCGUGGGGAUCAAACAGGAUUAGAUACCCGAGUAGUC